AACUCCUGGAAAUGACAAAAUGUCUAUUAAAUGAAUUUGGAAAUGAAGAAUUGGUUUUCCAUGGAGACUUAGAAACAGAUCACCUGGAAAUGAAUAUUACGAAGCUAAAACAUAAGUUUGAUGAUCUUACAGAAGAGCUGGGAGCUGUAUCUUCAAAAUGUCUAUAUUUGGCUAAAAACAAUCAAGUUAUUCAACAGGAGUUAAUCUCUAUGAAAGAUGUACAACAGAAAUAUGAAAAAUUGGAGGAG
This is a long non-coding RNA of Sapajus apella (tufted capuchin), 248 nucleotides long. RefSeq lists it as uncharacterized. The transcript is spliced from 2 exons. The record is from RefSeq and is a predicted model, not a curated record. NCBI's taxonomy places the organism in Eukaryota, Metazoa, Chordata, Mammalia, Primates, Cebidae.